UAAUUAGUGCGUAGCAAUGAA
Caenorhabditis elegans is the source of this 21-nucleotide non-coding RNA. NCBI's taxonomy places the organism in Eukaryota, Metazoa, Nematoda, Chromadorea, Rhabditida, Rhabditidae. The record is from Ensembl.